This is a long non-coding RNA of Ailuropoda melanoleuca (giant panda), 1548 nucleotides long. RefSeq lists it as uncharacterized. The record is from RefSeq and is a predicted model, not a curated record. The transcript is spliced from 4 exons. NCBI's taxonomy places the organism in Eukaryota, Metazoa, Chordata, Mammalia, Carnivora, Ursidae.
UCCAGGUCACACCUGGUCUUCCUGUCCCUUGAAGGCAUUUUCUGGCUGUGUUCCAAGAAGCCCUGAGUCUUCAGGAUCCUGAGGGAAACUCCCCUCCCCUCUCCCCUUCCCGCCCUGGAGCUUGGCUACAGGCAGUGGAAGCAGCUGAUGGCUUCUGAGGUCCCCUUCCAGCCCAACGCCCAAGCUUGGCCAGAGGCAGCACCAGUCUCUCCUCUCCUUCCCUUCUGUCCGCAGGGCCUACCCAGUGCCGGAACACCCAGCGGGCUCCGUAAUGCCAUUUGCAUGAACAAGUAACCAAGUGAAUGACAAGCAGUUCUUAGAGCAACGGACUAGGACAACCUCCUAGUGUAAACUCAGCGCACUUCUGACCCAAAGAGGGGGGCUGCUCAGUUUUGAAUGGUGGCCUGGAAUCCAUGAAAGAGGCAAAGGUUCUACAGAUGCAGACGGACCGAGUCUUCCUUGCAGCUCUCCUCUUCCUGGUCCGCGACUCUGGCACACCAGUUAGCCUCCCGACCUCGAUUUCCCCAGUCGACAAGAUGCGUCCCUCCUAGCAGUCACGGGGAUUACACGAGACUUCUUUUUUUUGAAAGAAUCCUGCAUGGAUCCCCAAUAUAUAAACCAGAUGGCCGAGCUGCUGUGGUUUAAGUGGGGGAGGAGUGCGAACCAAGCCAGUCAGCACCCUCAAGCACAGCCGCCUAACCGUGAGGCCUGACCACUGCUGCAAAGCCCUGGGAGCCAACCCUUCGUUUUUAAGAGCUAUAAAGGUUUCUUUCACGCAGUUGUUGGAAUUCAAGAAUUUCAGAGUGGCUUAGCUGGUUGUGGAUGGGGGUCUCUCAUGAGGUGGCAGCAAAUAUGGUGGCUGGGACUACAUCAUCUGGAGGCUUGACUGGACCUGAAGGACCUGAUUCCCAAGUGGAGCAUUCCAUCACUGGCAAGACAGUACGGGCCAUUGGCAGGAGGCCCCAGUUCUCACCCCAUGUACCUUUCCAUAAUGCUGCUGGAGUGAUCGUGACAUGGCGGCUGACUCCCUGAUGAGUGAUCCAGGCGAUCCCAAAGUGGAAGCCAUAAUGUCUUUCAUUAUCUGACAUCCGAAGUCACACACCACCAGCAUUUCCACAAAAGACUCACAAGAGAAGAAAACUUCUUUAACUUGACAAAGGACAUCUCCACAGCCAUCUCAUAUACCCACCAUGCGUCUCCUGACUGUGUACCAUCUACCACUGUAUGCUUUCACAUGAAUAAAUCUCAAUAACAGAAGUCCGAGGUCACGUCAUCUUAGUCUGGACACAUUGUCUUCCAAACCUCAAACCCUCGAUUUGUGGCCUCAUCUGAACUAGAGACUGGACUGGUUUGACAUCCAAGGGUUUCGAACUGCAUUUUCGAGGAAGGCUGGAUUGGUUGGUGAGAGCUGAGGGUCAAGAAGGGUGGCAUAGGUCUCCUCUCUCCUUCCCCUUCCUGCCUCAACCAGGGCAAAUUCCCUUGUAUCUGCUUUGUGUGUUGAAACUGUGUAAGAUUUCAUUUGUGAAAAAGUUCUGGCCCUUAAAAGUU